This 443-nucleotide ribosomal RNA is filed under the name uncultured bacterium. Its description in RNAcentral is "partial 16S ribosomal RNA". It matches the Rfam family "Bacterial small subunit ribosomal RNA", at positions 338 to 795 of the family's 1533-position model. The record is from RNAcentral.
CCUACGGGGUGCAGCAGUGGGGAAUAUUGGGCAAUGGGCGCAAGCCUGACCCCGCAACGCCGCGGUGAGGAAGGAGGCUCUCGGGUUGUCAACUUCUUUUAUCAGGGACGAAACAAGUGGCGGUACCUUAUUGAUAAGCCACGGCUAACUACGUUCCAGCAGCCGCGGUAAUACGUAGGUGGCAAGCAUUAUCCGGAUUUACUGGGUGGAAAGGGCGUGUAGGAGGGAAAGCAAGUCAGAUGUGAAAACCAUGGGCUCAACCUGUGGCCUGCAUUUGAAACUGUUUUUCUUGAGUACUGGAGAGGCAGACGGAAUUCCUAGUGUAGCGGUGAAAUGCGUAGAUAUUAGGAGGAACACCAGUGGCGAAGGCGGUCUGCUGGACAGCAACUGACGCUGAGGCGCGAAAGCGUGGGGAGCAAACAGGAUUAGAUACCCCUGUAGUC